This 463-nucleotide ribosomal RNA is filed under the name uncultured bacterium. RNAcentral describes it as "partial 16S ribosomal RNA". It matches the Rfam family "Bacterial small subunit ribosomal RNA", at positions 28 to 507 of the family's 1533-position model. The record is from RNAcentral.
GACGAACGCUGGCGGCGUGCUUAACACAUGCAAGUCGAACGGUAAGGCCCUUCGGAGUACACGAGUGGCGAACGAGUGAGUAACGCGGGAGUAACCUGCCCUUCACUCGGGGAUAACAGUUGAAAGCGGCAGCUAAUACCGAAUAUUCAGCUCCUGUCGCAUGGUAGGGUAUGGAGAGUUUUGGUGGUGGAGGAUGGGCUCGCGUCCUAUCAGGUUGUUGGGGGGGUGAUGGCCUACCAAGGCGUCGACGGGUAGCCGGCCUGAGAGGGCGACCGGCCACAUUGGGACUGAGAUACGGCCCAAACUCCUACGGGAGGCAGCAGUGGGGAAUAUUGCACAAUGGGCGGAAGCCUGAUGCAGAAACGCCGCGUGCGGGAUGACGGCCUUCGGGUUGUAAACCGCUUUCAGCAGGGACGAAGCGCAAGUGACGGUACCUGCAGAAGAAGCACCGGCUAACUACGUG